GGCCUCAUAGAGAAGAUUAGUUUGAUCCACAUGAAUGAAUUCAGACAUAUGCUUGUCUAUUAUGAGUUUAAUCAUAGGCC
RNAcentral lists this small nucleolar RNA (80 nucleotides) under Cajanus cajan (pigeon pea). Its description in RNAcentral is "snoRNA gene-KK1_016127". Lineage: Eukaryota; Viridiplantae; Streptophyta; Magnoliopsida; Fabales; Fabaceae. The record is from RNAcentral.